GCCAGGUGUGGUGGCGCAGACCUGUAAUCCCAGAGGCUUGGGAGGCAGAGGCAGGAGAAUCGCGAGUUCAAAGCCAAAUUUAGUGAGGUGCUAAGCAACUCAGUGAGACCUUGUCUCUA
This 119-nucleotide small RNA is filed under the name Marmota monax (woodchuck). The record is from RNAcentral. Lineage: Eukaryota; Metazoa; Chordata; Mammalia; Rodentia; Sciuridae.